RNAcentral lists this long non-coding RNA (326 nucleotides) under Solanum tuberosum (potato). RNAcentral describes it as "long non-coding RNA (STUB_LNC000955)". Lineage: Eukaryota; Viridiplantae; Streptophyta; Magnoliopsida; Solanales; Solanaceae. The record is from RNAcentral.
UUGUUUUAAAACAUAUGAGCUACGUACAUUUUUGGGAGUAGUAUUGAGCACCGAUAUGGGGAUGCGAGUUCAUAUUAACUCAACUCUCCAUAAACCAUGUAGCCAUCAUGGGUAUUAAUGGGUCAUGCUUUUUAGAUAAUCACAUAAAUUAAGCUAGUGGAUCCACUAAGUUAAGCGUUCUAUAUGACGGCAAAGUAUAGGACAGUUCUGGCAGCAUAGGCAAGACGUUGUAUCACCACUUAGGUUCAUAGUGGUGGUUGUCGGUUAGAGAAUCUCCCACAAAAACUACAUUAUUUUAUUAGAUGAGUAAAGUUGAGUUUGUUACU